Molecule: ribosomal RNA, 370 nt
Filed under: uncultured Nitrosospira sp.
Lineage: Bacteria; Pseudomonadati; Pseudomonadota; Betaproteobacteria; Nitrosomonadales; Nitrosomonadaceae
Description: bacterial SSU rRNA
Rfam family: Bacterial small subunit ribosomal RNA
Source: RNAcentral
GAUGUCUGAUUAGCUAGUUGGUGAGGUAAAGGCUUACCAAGGCGUCGAUCAGUAGCUGGUCUGAGAGGACGACCAGCCACACUGGGACUGAGACACGGCCCAGACUCCUACGGGAGGCAGCAGUGGGGAAUUUUGGACAAUGGGGGAAACCCUGAUCCAGCCAUGCCGCGUGAGUGAAGAAGGCCUUCGGGUUGUAAAGCUCUUUCAGCCGGAACGAAACGGUCACGGCUAAUACCUGUGAAUACUGACGGUACCGGAAGAAGAAGCACCGGCUAACUACGUGCCAGCAGCCGCGGUAAUACGUAGGGUGCGAGCGUUAAUCGGAAUUACUGGGCGUAAAGCGUGCGCAGGCGGUUUUGUAAGUCAGAUG